RNAcentral lists this ribosomal RNA (739 nucleotides) under Streptococcus suis. RNAcentral describes it as "partial 23S ribosomal RNA". It matches the Rfam family "Bacterial large subunit ribosomal RNA", at positions 638 to 1375 of the family's 2925-position model. The record is from RNAcentral. Lineage: Bacteria; Bacillati; Bacillota; Bacilli; Lactobacillales; Streptococcaceae.
AUGCGAGGUUAAGUUGAAUAGACGGAGCCGAAGGGAAACCGAGUCUUAACUGGGCGUUAAGUUGCAGGGUAUAGACCCGAAACCCGGUGAUCUAGCCAUGGGCAGGUUGAAGGUUGGGUAACACUAACUGGAGGACCGAACCGACUAAUGUUGAAAAAUUAGCGGAUGACCUGUGGCUGGGGGUGAAAGGCCAAUCAAACCGGGAGAUAGCUGGUUCUCCCCGAAAGCUAUUUAGGUAGCGCCUCGUGAACUCAUCUUCGGGGGUAGAGCACUGUUUCGGCUAGGGGGCCAUCCCGGCUUACCAACCCGAUGCAAACUACGAAUACCGAAGAAUGUUAUCACGGGAGACACACGGCGGGUGCUAACGUCCGUCGUGAAGAGGGAAACAACCCAGACCGCCAGCUAAGGUCCCAAAGUCAUGGUUAAGUGGGAAACGAUGUGGGAAGGCACAGACAGCCAGGAUGUUGGCUUAGAAGCAGCCAUCAUUUAAAGAAAGCGUAAUAGCUCACUGGUCGAGUCGGCCUGCGCGGAAGAUGUAACGGGGCUAAACCAUGCACCGAAGCUGCGGCAGCGACACUAUGUGUUGUUGGGUAGGGGAGCGUUCUGUAAGCCGUUGAAGGUGUCCUGUGAGGGGUGCUGGAGGUAUCAGAAGUGCGAAUGCUGACAUAAGUAACGAUAAAGCGGGUGAAAAGCCCGCUCGCCGGAAGACCAAGGGUUCCUGUCCAACGUUAAUCGGGGC